AAAUUUUAUGAACUCACAAGAUAAAAUAAUUAUUAUUGGCAGCAGAAUAAUUAGUUCUGACUCUAUGGAUAAAUGACUAUUUUCUAUGAAUAAAAAAUUAAACAUGAUGAAAAAAAUGGUAUAAUGCGAAAAAAGAUUGAGUAUCACGAACAAAAUAUUUGAUUGUCUAUGAAAAGAAUAAAUAAAGGAUAAAAGUAAGAAAACUUAAGGGGGAAGAGAAAGAAAAUGAGAAAUAAAAAAAUAAUUAUGUAGUAAAGCAUAGGAGGGACAUAGGAGGAAAAUUAAAAAAACAUAAAAAAGAGUUAGUAUUAUCGACAUCACAGGAGAAAGUAUUUAAAUUUUUUCCUAAAUCAUGCUAAUCACAACUCAUGGAGUGGUGUAGUGGUGGUUCAACUCACCCAUCACCCAAGGGAUAGGUCUUGAGUUUGAACCCUUCUUGUUGCAAAUUUUUUCCAGCAUUCUCAUGAAACAAAAGAUCUAUAUACCUCGAACAAAUUACAGCAACCAACACACAGGAUGUAGGGUAUUACGGUAUUCAGCGGCCCGAACCUGUCUAAAUCAUGUGUCUGUAUUCACCUUCGAGUUCUUGAUCUCAACGAACCCCACUAACCAAAACACUAUCUCGGGCAUCACCUCGAUAGGUUGCCGGGUUUAAACCCCGACACCAUGGAAUAAAAAAAAUUGUAUGUAUCGAACAAAUUAUAUGAAUUCAGAUAACAAAAAAUAUACUCCUAGAACAAGUUAUGCAAACUCAUAGAACAAAUAUAUGUAUACAAAAUAAAUAAUACGAGUCAUGGAACAAAACAAUUGUAUGCAUUGAACAAAUGAUAUAAAUUUGAACAAAACUAGAACAAGUGGCAUGAAGUUAUGGAACAAAAUAUUAUACAUGGAAUAAAUUAUAUGAACUUACAACUGUAAAAUUUAUACAGAGCGAGAAAUUAUACGGCCUCACACAACAAAAUUUAACUCAUGUAAUAAAAAAUUUUGUACUUGAAAAACAUACAUUAUGCGCAUGUGCAACAUCAAAACCUUUUCGGUCCCAAAUAAGUUGGUGUAAACUAGAGUAGAAACUCAAAAGGAACCACUUAUCAAGGUUAAAAAUAGUAUAAAGGGUAUAUUAUUAUAAUAUAUGAGGAAGUAAAAUAUUAGUUUUAAUUGAGGAAGAAAGGCCAGAUCGGAAACUACACAAAAGAUGAAAUAAGCGGAUAAAUU
This 1212-nucleotide long non-coding RNA is filed under the name Setaria viridis. Its description in RNAcentral is "long non-coding RNA (SVIR_LNC008257)". Lineage: Eukaryota; Viridiplantae; Streptophyta; Magnoliopsida; Poales; Poaceae. The record is from RNAcentral.